RNAcentral lists this ribosomal RNA (200 nucleotides) under uncultured eukaryote. Its description in RNAcentral is "partial 18S ribosomal RNA". The record is from RNAcentral.
AGAUUACCAGAGACUCUAUGUCGCCUGGACACUCACCUGUAAUCGUGAUGGUAUCGGAUAGAUUAGCACGCUGAUCAUCAUUAUUCACUAAAGUGAUCAUCUGCACACACACAUCCAUACUGGUAUCGGUAGCGGCAGUCCAUGUUCUCUGGAUCACUUGAUCAGGACAUGACAUAAUCAAGCUAUCUGUGAACGAAAGU